This is a non-coding RNA of Brevibacillus laterosporus LMG 15441, 266 nucleotides long. It matches the Rfam family "Bacterial large signal recognition particle RNA". From Rfam's summary of the family: The signal recognition particle (SRP) is a universally conserved ribonucleoprotein involved in the co-translational targeting of proteins to membranes. Lineage: Bacteria; Bacillati; Bacillota; Bacilli; Caryophanales; Paenibacillaceae. The record is from Rfam.
CCGUGCUAGAUGGGGAGGUUGCGGUGCCCUGUAACCUGCAAUCCGCAAUAGCAGGAUUGAAUUCCUAUCAGCGGUCAUUUUAUGUGAGGUCUGCCUUAUACCGUUGGUGUUGAGGAUUGGGUCCUAUGCAACGUGAACCUAUGAACCUGGUCAGGUCCGGAAGGAAGCAGCCAUAAGUAGGACCUUGCGUGUGCCGUAGGGUAGCCUGGUCUGAGUCAAUUGUAUAAGUAACGCUCGGAUGGAAUGUAUCAAUGAUAGGUGCACGG